This is a long non-coding RNA of Nothoprocta perdicaria, 571 nucleotides long. RefSeq lists it as uncharacterized. The record is from RefSeq and is a predicted model, not a curated record. The transcript has 4 exons. Lineage: Eukaryota; Metazoa; Chordata; Aves; Tinamiformes; Tinamidae.
GGAUCUUUCCYGUCUUAUGAGUUUGACUUCAUGAUCCAGCCCAAUAAUUGUGGAGAGUUCCCUCCCUUUGCAUUUGUGACCCCCAGCAGCACUUUUCACUCAUCUUAAAGCUUUCCCUGCAACCCCAAAGGGUGGUGGGGACAGAAUGGCCCCUUGCCAGGGCUGCUGUCCUUGCUAAUUGUUGGGUUUUGCUCUUUGCUGUAAUCCUGCAAUGUGGAAGAUGUGCUGAUAUCCAGCUACAGAACAGUGACAGAUGAAGGAAACUGAACUUCACUGUCGACAGAUCCAUGUGACGCCCGUUGCUUCCUUCAGCAGUAACUUCAUGUCCAUGUCUGGCACUAUAGAUGGGUUGAAUUUCUCCUAUAACUACCUUAGAUAUUCAGAGAGGAGAUAUCAACAUAAUUACUGGAAGUGGAAACUAUUGCCAUGGUGAUGGUGCGCGACACAGCAAAGCUCCUCGGGAAGGGAGCACAGCCCCAGGAUUUCGAGAACAAUGAAUGAAAUUUAUUCCCUGCUAAAGACCAGGCAUACAUUAUAGCUGAARCAACACCCCCGCACAAAGCCUGAGCUA